This 932-nucleotide long non-coding RNA is filed under the name Nicotiana benthamiana. RNAcentral's name for it is "long non-coding RNA (NBEN_LNC025053)". The record is from RNAcentral. Lineage: Eukaryota; Viridiplantae; Streptophyta; Magnoliopsida; Solanales; Solanaceae.
ACAAAAAUGGCAAUAUCUUUUUUAGUCUUCCUCCCCCCAAUGGAAUGAGCACAACAAGGUGCUAAUACCACCAUUAAAAGGGAAAAAAACUAAUGAAGAUGUGCCAAUACAAGUUACAUAUUGGUCUUUGUAUUAUCUCUAACAAAUUUCAUAAAUCCUUCAAGGUUCGGAGGAGUUUUUGUUGGUGGUGGCAAAAAAGAAGCUUGUUCAUCACGCUUCCGGUCGAACCAGCAUCCUUCGUAAGUUCCGCUAUUAUUUCUUCACAAUUUUCGUCUAUCUUCGGUUGUGAUUCAGCAAGUCCAAAAUUUCUUCUUUCCAAACGAAUUCAAUCUCUAAAGAGUACUAAUUUUUCCAAGCUCUCCCUCAUAGACGAUCUAUAAUCAUUUACUUGAAGUCUCGCUUGACUGAAGCGCUCUCUAAUGUCACUGUUGAAGCUGUAACACAUAAAAUAUCUCGAGUCAUCCUUGAAGGAAUCGAAAAGUAUUUUUCUUUGGCCUUCCACAAUUUCAAAAGAUCAAAGGAACCGUCUGUAUUCUCCUUUUCAAGGCCCUUCGACAAAUAAACUUGAAGCUCAUUUAGAUGUGAAGUAUCAUCAAUAUUAUCACCUUGAGAACCCCUAAAAUUCGUCCAAGAACUAAGUGCUUUUAAGCCCACAUUUCUUUUAGAUGAUUGCGAACUAGAUGAAGCAGGAGUUGGAACAUUUGGUCUAGCAUGAUCUAAGGCUUGUUGAUAAGCAUUAUAAAUUAUUUGAGUUAAUUAAGGCAUUUGCAUCUGCAAGUGUAUCUAAUUCCUCAUUUGAGAGAUCCAAAGCUCUAUAAAUAUUUAAAUAUCAAAAGUGAGGACCUCCUAAUUUUAUGGUAGGUUUUAGUAUGGCAGCAACUAGGGGUGUACAAAGAAAACCGAUAAACCGCACCAACCCGAUAAUCCGAGUC